RNAcentral lists this ribosomal RNA (806 nucleotides) under uncultured bacterium. Its description in RNAcentral is "bacterial SSU rRNA". It matches the Rfam family "Bacterial small subunit ribosomal RNA", at positions 270 to 1086 of the family's 1533-position model. The record is from RNAcentral.
AAGGCAACGACGGAUAUCGGGUGUGAGAGCACGACCCGACUCACUGGGACUGAGACACUGCCCAGACUCCUACGGGAGGCUGCAGUCAAGAAUAUUCCUCAAUGGACGAAAGUCUGAAGGAGCGACGCCGCGUGACCGAUGAAGCCCUUAGGGGUGUAAAGGUCUUUUAUUAGGGAAGAACUUUUGACGGUACCUAAUGAAUAAGGGGUUGCUAACUCUGUGCCAGCAGCAGCGGUAAUACAGAGACCCCGAGCGUUAUCCGGAUUUAUUGGGCGUAAAGCGUGCGCAGAUGGUUUUCUAAGUCCGUGGUCAAAUCCUGAUGCUUAACAUCAGGACUGCCAUGGAUACUGGGAGACUAGAGGGUGGAAGAGGCUAGCGGAAUUGCCGGUGUAACGGUAAAAUGUGUUAAUAUCGGCAAGAACACCAGAGGCGAAAGCGGCUAGCUGGUACACUCCUGACAUUGUGGCACGAAAGCGUGGGUAGCGAAUGGGAUUAGAUACCCCAGUAGUCCACGCCGUAAACGAUGGAUAUUAGCCAUUGGCAGUAUCGACCCUGCCAGUGGCGGUUAAAAAAGCUAACGCAUUAAAUAUCCCGCCUGGGAAGUACGAACGCAAGUUUAAAACUCAAGGAAUUGACGGGGGCCCGCACAAGCGGUGGAGCAUGUGGUUUAAUUCGACGAUAAGCGGAAAACCUUACCAGGCUUGACAUGUAGCUGCACAUCCCGAGAAAUCGGGACUCCUUCGAGGGGUGCUAUACAGUGCUGCAUGGUUGUCGUCAGCUCGCGCCGUGAGGUGUAGCCUUAAGUG